Molecule: long non-coding RNA, 1647 nt
Filed under: Homo sapiens (human)
Lineage: Eukaryota; Metazoa; Chordata; Mammalia; Primates; Hominidae
Description: non-protein coding lnc-BRD1-23:1
Source: RNAcentral
CGUGUGCGGUCCCUCCCCCUCACGUUCUCUCUUCCUCUGCUCCGCCAUGAUGAGAAGCGCCUGCUUCCCCUUCCCCUUCCGCCAUGAUUGUGUUUCCUGAGACCUCCCAGCCACGCUUCCUGUACAGCCUGCAGAACUCUGCAAGACCUUCCUCCAAGGAACCUGCUGCCAACUCGCCUGGCACAGACAUCCUGACAUGACACCACUGCUCAUUCCCCACUGGCACAGGACCGGCCAUCUCCUCCAAGCCUGAGCUGCCUGUACAGCAUCCCAAGCUCUGGGCGCACCUGGGGCAGCCGUGGCAGGAACGCCGUGGGAUCUGCUGAGUCCUACGAGGCUGCAGUGGGACCGAGUGGGAACCAUGGCCCAUGCAGAACUGCUUCUCCCUUGAAGAAGAAACACAGGCUAUUGGCUCAGCUGUAAAAGGCAAACACAGGCUAUUGGCUCAGCUGUAAAAGGAGAUCACGGCAUCCGCUUGGAUGGGGAGUUGGUGCCAGCUUUCCUGCUACAAGAAAAUUCAAUCCCAACUGCUACCCAGACCCGCUGUGUCUGCACCACAGCAGUGGGGACCGAGGGCAUGCCUGCCAUGCCAAUCCCGCAGAGGACUUUGCUGCAGCGAGACAGCCCCUUUCUCCCUCCAUGAUAGAGUUUAGAAGCCUCCUCCUCUUGCUGCCACCGUGGGUAUUUAGGUGAGCAGCUGUAGUUGCCGGGGAGGCCUGAGCACAACACUUAACGCUGCUCCUGCAGUUUCAUGGGCCAUUAACAAUUUGCUAAUAUUGUUUUAGCUUGCAAAUUAGUGCAGCUCCGUGGGUAAGGAAAGGCUCUGUGGCUGUCAUCAAUCAGAUGGAAAUUCUCCAUGCAUGAGAUGAAAAACGAUUUCUAGCCUUUGAGGCUCAGACGGCAAUUACUGUAACCAAAAAAAAUGGGUGGUGGGGAGCCGGGGGGAAGAGAGCUCCUUGCAAAGUCUGUUAGCAAUUCUAUGAACUUUAUUUCUUGAUGCACGAGAGUGAAACUAUGAGGAUUUCCAGCCAAGGGAACUUGAUUUUCUUAGUUACUAAUAAAGUGACAAUCUAAAGGAGCCCUCUCCAACUGACCUGCUCCCAGAAGGUGGGGAGAGAGGAUGUCCGUGUGGCAAGAAGGAUGACAAAGCUGUGAGGACCUGGUGACUGUCUUUGCUGAGCUCCCAACUGGUGACGCUCACCAGGAGGAUGCCACAGAUGGCUCUGCCAAAAGUGCAGACAAACCUUGGCCUUGUUUGUUGGAAACCAUGUUGCUUAUCCCCCAUCCCUCCCACCUUUAAGCACCAACAUUUUUUCCUUUUAAAUAUUGAUACGAGACUGGGCUGGGCAUGGUGGCUCAUGCCUGUAGUUCUAAUGCUUUGGAAAUCUGAGGCAGGAGAAUCACUUGAUCUCCAGUUCUAGACCAGCCUGGGCAGUAUAGUGAGAACCCCAUCUCUACAAAAACAUUUCAAAAAUUAGCUGGGUGUGGUAGUAUGCACUGUGGUCCCAGCUGCUUGGGAGGCUGAGGCAGGAGGAUCACUUGAGCCCAGGAGAUCAAGGCUGCUGUGAGCCAUGAACGCCCCUCUGCACUCCAGCCUGGGCAACAGAGUGAGACCCUGUCUCUUAAAAUAAAAGUGAGACUGUUAUG